AAACACAACAACCAGAAGGCCCCUGUAAUCCCGUUGGUACACAACCCAACACUGAAAAUGCAGCAAUUACAAGGCCUGAAGGUCGUGAUACUGCAAAAAAAAGAAGGUUCAAGGAAGACACUGCAUCAUCUAGUGCUGCUGUAGAAGUGCUGCAGCAGAUGCAAGAGAGGAAUGAAAAAACAGAAGAGAAGCAAGAUGAACAGAUGCAAGAGAUCCUGACAUUGAAGGGGAAUAAAAUGAGGCUUACUGAGAAGAUGUUUGACUUGCAGAAGCAUGAAAUGGAAGUUAAGAACAAGUUGAAGGAGGAGCAGCUCAGUCUUACCAAGCAGGACAUAGAAGCAAGGGCCAAACAAAGUGAGGCACAACUGCUUACUGCUGAAUUGGGCAUCAUGGGAGCAGACUUAGAUAAACUUUCUCCCAGUGUGAGAGC
This 430-nucleotide unclassified non-coding RNA is filed under the name Zea mays. Its description in RNAcentral is "misc RNA Zm00001eb160800". Lineage: Eukaryota; Viridiplantae; Streptophyta; Magnoliopsida; Poales; Poaceae. The record is from RNAcentral.